GGCGUGGCGGAGAAGUGAGGAAGGAGAGUGGUGAGACGAGAGGAGGAAGAUUGCGUAUUACCACGAGCCGGAUCGACAUUCAACGCAGAGAAGGUGAAUCAGAUAGCGCUCUGGGUGACCGGAAAUGCCCGGAGUUCCUCUGUUGCUGCGGGGAAGUGCAGAUAGCCACUCGCUUGAGCCAAAGCCACGACGUUUCAUCGUACCACGGGACCCGUUGCAUUCGGGAAAAUAUUAGGCCUGCAACGUAGGAGAGAAACACACACAAUGAUGGACAGGAAGGCAUCAUAGAGGAUUUGGAAGAAGAUAUUGUGUGAAUAUAUUUUACUGGAACUUGAUCUUCAUUACACCUGCUUUCUUUUUCUGUUUAGAGAUGUGCUUAUAUAUUUACUGUAUUCAAGUUCAAUGUCAAUUGUAACAUAAUGUGUUCAGCUAAUUGUUGCUAGAGCACUGUAAUUUUUGCUAAAAGUUUGCUACAAUCUUAAUGUUUUGCUACUAAUUAUCAUGCUGUAAGAUUUUUUCAUGUGAAACCCUACAAGAUAUUAGAAGACCAAGCGGAUAGAUGGGUAAAAAGACAAUAUUCACCAAUAAUAUGAUAUCAUGUGAUCUAAUACAAUUUUAAUGAAAAUAAACUAUUAUUAAGGUUAUUUAUAAGUCUAUUAAGGUCCUAUUUAGCACUUCCAAAGCAUAGAUUUCUAUGGAACCUCUUAAAAGGGGUUCUCUUUAGCACCAAAAUGGGUUCUACUGUUGUUACAAACCAAAGAACCCUAAUCUGUUUGAACCAUUUUUCUUAAGAGUGUAGUUAAUGCAGUUUGUGUGAUAAUAAUAUAUCUUUUAUAUCAAAAUUUGUAUGAUAUUUUCUUCCAUACAAAAACUGCAAAUGAGUUCUCUUUUGGAAGACAUCCCAUCUCAUUUCAUUUAAAAAUAAAACUUCAA
This is a long non-coding RNA of Onychostoma macrolepis, 933 nucleotides long. RefSeq lists it as uncharacterized. NCBI's taxonomy places the organism in Eukaryota, Metazoa, Chordata, Actinopteri, Cypriniformes, Cyprinidae. The record is from RefSeq and is a predicted model, not a curated record. The transcript has 3 exons.